AAGUCGUAACAAGGUCUCCGUUGGUGAACCAGCGGAGGGAUCAUUACUGAGUCGUAAAACACUCCCAAACCCAUGUGAAUCUACCUAUGUUGCCUCGGCAGGACCUACCCGGUAGCUACCUUGUACCUACCCUGUAGCCUGCCGGUGGACAAUACACUCUUGUUUAUUUGAAUCGGAAUCUGAGCGUCUUUAAUUAAAUAAAGUCUAAA
RNAcentral lists this unclassified non-coding RNA (209 nucleotides) under plant metagenome. RNAcentral describes it as "partial contains small subunit ribosomal RNA and internal transcribed spacer 1". The stretch from base 1 to 46 matches the Rfam family "Eukaryotic small subunit ribosomal RNA", at positions 1786 to 1831 of the family's 1831-position model. The record is from RNAcentral.